GAUGAACGCUAGCGACAGGCUUAACACAUGCAAGUCGAGGGGCAGCGGGGGUGAUGGCUUGCCAUCGCCUGCCGGCGACCGGCGCACGGGUGAGUAACACGUAUGCAACCUGCCCGCCACAGGGGGAUAAGCGGAAGAAAUUCCGUCUAAUACCGCGUGACGCGGCGCCGGGGCAUCCCGGUGCCGCCAAAGGGAUUACCGGUGGCGGAUGGGCAUGCGGCGCAUUAGCUAGUCGGCGGGGUAACGGCCCACCGAGGCGACGAUGCGUAGGGGUUCUGAGAGGAAGGUCCCCCACACUGGAACUGAGACACGGUCCAG
RNAcentral lists this ribosomal RNA (318 nucleotides) under uncultured bacterium. RNAcentral's name for it is "bacterial SSU rRNA". It matches the Rfam family "Bacterial small subunit ribosomal RNA", at positions 28 to 334 of the family's 1533-position model. The record is from RNAcentral.